Molecule: ribosomal RNA, 253 nt
Filed under: uncultured bacterium
Lineage: Bacteria
Description: partial 16S ribosomal RNA
Rfam family: Bacterial small subunit ribosomal RNA
Source: RNAcentral
UACGUAGGCAGCGAGCGUUGUUCGGAGUUACUGGGCGUAAAGGGUGUGUAGGCGGUUGUUUAAGUUUGGUGUGAAAUCUCCCGGCUCAACUGGGAGGGUGCGCCGAAUACUGAAUGACUCGAGUGCGGGAGAGGAGAGUGGAAUUCCUGGUGUAGCGGUGAAGUGCGUAGAUAUCAGGAGGAACACCGGCGGUGUAGACGGCUCUCUGGACCGUAACUGACGCUGAGGCACGAAAGCGUGGGUAGCAAACAGG